Molecule: long non-coding RNA, 813 nt
Organism: Metopolophium dirhodum (rose-grain aphid)
Lineage: Eukaryota; Metazoa; Arthropoda; Insecta; Hemiptera; Aphididae
Exons: 3
Source: RefSeq, a predicted model, not a curated record
AUUACUUACAUAUGCUGAAACAUUGAAAAAAUUAAAAACACAACAUACAGUAAUUGAAAGUUAUGCUUUGUGGAUAUGGGCAUGCUAUUGAAAUCGAUGAAUCCAAAUUUGGCAAAAGAAAGGCAUCGAGUUGAAGGGCAAUGGAUGGCACUGGAAAUUGUUUCAUGGUUCCUGUUGAAAAUCGUAACGCCAACACCCUAUUAACCAUCAUUAAGCAGUGAGUGAAACCUGGAACCACAAUUAUUUCAGAUUGCUGGAAGAUGUACGACACCUAAAAAACGAGGGUUGUAUUCUCUGUUCAGUGAAUCUACAGCCUACAUUUCAAGGAUCCCGAAUCAGGUGUUCAUCCAAAUAUUAUCGAGAGUUCUUGGAGCUACGUCAAAGCACCGGUGUUGCAGCAUUGUAGAGGAAAAUAAUUUCUAAUUUCCUGCCAGUUUUUUUGAAAGCUGGAUUUUCAAAAUAGGGUUCUCGUUAUGGCAGUAUACUAAAAAGUUCUAUUGUAUUAUCUAUUAUUUUAAAUUAUUUUAUAUUACAUAGUGAUACACAUUUUAUCUUUACAUCUCCCAGUAUUUAUGUUAUAAAACCUAAUGCUAUUCUAGGUACCUAAUGGCAGUUAAGUUUGUAAUGUUUUGCGUGUAGUGUAAAUGUGUGUAAUACAGCGGGGGUUACUCUGACUAGUAUAUUUCAAGAUUAUAAUCAAUUUUUUAAAAUGUUAUUAAAAGUAUUUUAUAGCUUUUUAUCAAUAUUGAAAAGUCUGGUUAAAUUACACGUUAUACUAAUAUGUUUUUAUUUUUGUAUUAUUCCAUGUCAAAU